CGACGGGUGAGUAAUGUAUGGGGAUCUGCCCGAUAGAGGGGGAUAACUACUGGAAACGGUAGCUAAUACCGCAUAACGUCGCAAGACCAAAGAGGGGGACCUUCGGGCCUCUUGCCAUCGGAUGUGCCCAGAUGGGAUUAGCUAGUAGGUGGGGUAAAGGCUCACCUAGGCGACGAUCCCUAGCUGGUCUGAGAGGAUGACCAGCCACACUGGAACUGAGACACGGUCCAGACUCCUACGGGAGGCAGCAUG
RNAcentral lists this ribosomal RNA (252 nucleotides) under uncultured bacterium. RNAcentral describes it as "partial 16S ribosomal RNA". It matches the Rfam family "Bacterial small subunit ribosomal RNA", at positions 100 to 353 of the family's 1533-position model. The record is from RNAcentral.